AUUGAACGCUGGCGGCAGGCCUAACACAUGCAAGUCGAACGGCAACAGGAAGCAGCUUGCUGCUUUGCUGACGAGUGGCGGGCGGGUGAGUAAUGUCUGGGAAACUGUCCGAUGGAGGGGGAUAACUACUGGAAACGGUAGCUAAUACAGCAUAACGUCGCAAGACCAAAGAGGGGGACCUUAGGGCCUCUUGCCAUCGGGUGUGCGCAGAUGGGAGUAGCUAGUUGGUGGGGUAAAGGCCCACCAAGGCGACGAUCCCUAGCUGGUCUGAGAGGAUGAUCAGACACACUGGAACUGAGACACGGUCCAGACUCCUACGGGAGGCAGCAGUGGGGAAUAUGGGACAAUGGGCGCAAGCCUGAUCCAGACAUACCGCGUGGGUGAAGAAGGCCUUCGGGUUGUAAAGCCCUUUUGUUGGGAAAGAAAAGCAGCAGGUUAAUACCCCGCUGUUCUGACGGUACCCAAAGAAUAAGCACCGGCUAACUUCGUG
Molecule: ribosomal RNA, 490 nt
Filed under: uncultured bacterium
Lineage: Bacteria
Description: partial 16S ribosomal RNA
Rfam family: Bacterial small subunit ribosomal RNA
Source: RNAcentral